UACGUAGGGUGCGAGCGUUGUCCGGAAUUAUUGGGCGUAAAGAGCUUGUAGGCGGUUUGUCGCGUCUGCUGUGAAAUCUCAAGGCUCAACCUUGAGCUUGCAGUCGAUACUGGGCAGCUAGAGUUCGGUAGAGGGUGACGGAAUUCCCGGUGUAGCAGUGAAAUGCGUAGAUAUCGGGAGGAACAUCGAUGGCGAAGGCAAUCACCUGGGCCUGGACUGACACUGUGACACGAAAGCGUGGGUAGCAAACAGG
Molecule: ribosomal RNA, 253 nt
Filed under: uncultured bacterium
Lineage: Bacteria
Description: partial 16S ribosomal RNA
Rfam family: Bacterial small subunit ribosomal RNA
Source: RNAcentral